RNAcentral lists this ribosomal RNA (937 nucleotides) under Staphylococcus hominis. Its description in RNAcentral is "bacterial SSU rRNA". It matches the Rfam family "Bacterial small subunit ribosomal RNA", at positions 20 to 938 of the family's 1533-position model. Lineage: Bacteria; Bacillati; Bacillota; Bacilli; Caryophanales; Staphylococcaceae. The record is from RNAcentral.
UGGCUCAGGAUGAACGCUGGCGGCGUGCGUAAUACAUGCAAGUCGAGCGAACAGACGAGGAGCUUGCUCCUUUGACGUUAGCGGCGGACGGGUGAGUAACACGUAGGUAACCUACCUAUAAGACUGGGAUAACUUCGGGAAACCGGAGCUAAUACCGGAUAAUAUUUCGAACCGCAUGGUUCGAUAGUGAAAGAUGGCUUUGCUAUCACUUAUAGAUGGACCUGCGCCGUAUUAGCUAGUUGGUAAGGUAACGGCUUACCAAGGCAACGAUACGUAGCCGACCUGAGAGGGUGAUCGGCCACACUGGAACUGAGACACGGUCCAGACUCCUACGGGAGGCAGCAGUAGGGAAUCUUCCGCAAUGGGCGCAAGCCUGACGGAGCAACGCCGCGUGAGUGAUGAAGGUCUUCGGAUCGUAAAACUCUGUUAUUAGGGAAGAACAAACGUGUAAGUAACUGUGCACGUCUUGACGGUACCUAAUCAGAAAGCCACGGCUAACUACGUGCCAGCAGCCGCGGUAAUACGUAGGUGGCAAGCGUUAUCCGGAAUUAUUGGGCGUAAAGCGCGCGUAGGCGGUUUUUUAAGUCUGAUGUGAAAGCCCACGGCUCAACCGUGGAGGGUCAUUGGAAACUGGAAAACUUGAGUGCAGAAGAGGAAAGUGGAAUUCCAUGUGUAGCGGUGAAAUGCGCAGAGAUAUGGAGGAACACCAGUGGCGAAGGCGACUUUCUGGUCUGUAACUGACGCUGAUGUGCGAAAGCGUGGGGAUCAAACAGGAUUAGAUACCCUGGUAGUCCACGCCGUAAACGAUGAGUGCUAAGUGUUAGGGGGUUUCCGCCCCUUAGUGCUGCAGCUAACGCAUUAAGCACUCCGCCUGGGGAGUACGACCGCAAGGUUGAAACUCAAAGGAAUUGACGGGGACCCGCACAAGCGGUGGAGC